Molecule: long non-coding RNA, 180 nt
Organism: Nematolebias whitei (Rio pearlfish)
Lineage: Eukaryota; Metazoa; Chordata; Actinopteri; Cyprinodontiformes; Rivulidae
Exons: 3
Source: RefSeq, a predicted model, not a curated record
GCAGGUCACCAGGAGGUUGAAGGAUGAGAGGCUCCAGGCUGAGUAUGGCGAGACAUGAGGGAACCAAACUCACAGGAGGCGGUUUGAGGCAAAGGAAGCAAAGCAACACUCGAGCCUCUGUAAGUGAUCUGGCUUCAGCCAUCAUGUGGUCCUAGCUCAGCAGGACAGCAACCACAGCUG